This 25-nucleotide transfer RNA is filed under the name Apterosperma oblata. Its description in RNAcentral is "partial tRNA-Glu". RNAcentral also lists the same sequence under 1 other name. Lineage: Eukaryota; Viridiplantae; Streptophyta; Magnoliopsida; Ericales; Theaceae. The record is from RNAcentral.
UCCUGAACCACUAAACGAUGGGGGC